GAGUUUGAUCGUGGCUCAGAUUGAACGCUGGCGGCAUGCCUUACACAUGCAAGUCGAACGGCAGCACGGGAGCUUGCUCCUGGUGGCGAGUGGCGAACGGGUGAGUAAUGCAUCGGAACGUAUCCUGGAGUGGGGGAUAACGUAGCGAAAGUUACGCUAAUACCGCAUAUUCUGUGAGCAGGAAAGCGGGGGACCUUCGGGCCUCGCGCUCUUGGAGCGGCCGAUGUCGGAUUAGCUAGUUGGUGAGGUAAAGGCUCGACCAAGGCGACGAUCCGUAGCAGGUCUGAGAGGAUGAUCUGCCGCACUGGAACUGAGACACGGUCCAGACUCCUACGGGAGGCAGCAGUGGGAUUUUGGACAAUGGGGGCAACCCUGAUCCAGCCAUGCCGCGUGAGUGAAGAAGGCCUCGGUGGUAAG
Molecule: ribosomal RNA, 417 nt
Filed under: bacterium enrichment culture clone ALO1_GLFRUDD03G0GJH
Lineage: Bacteria
Description: bacterial SSU rRNA
Rfam family: Bacterial small subunit ribosomal RNA
Source: RNAcentral